RNAcentral lists this ribosomal RNA (493 nucleotides) under Treponema denticola. Its description in RNAcentral is "bacterial SSU rRNA". It matches the Rfam family "Bacterial small subunit ribosomal RNA", at positions 29 to 508 of the family's 1533-position model. Lineage: Bacteria; Pseudomonadati; Spirochaetota; Spirochaetia; Treponematales; Treponemataceae. The record is from RNAcentral.
AACGAACGCUGGCGGCGCGUCUUAAGCAUGCAAGUCGAACGGUAAGGGAGAGCUUGCUCUCCCCUAGAGUGGCGGACUGGUGAGUAACGCGUGGGUGACCUGCCCUGAAGAUGGGGAUAGCUAGUAGAAAUAUUAGAUAAUACCGAAUGUGCUCAUUUACAUAAAGGUAAAUGAGGAAAGGAGCUACGGCUCCGCUUCAGGAUGGGCCCGCGUCCCAUUAGCUGGUUGGUGAGGUAAAGGCUCACCAAGGCAACGAUGGGUAUCCGGCCUGAGAGGGUGAACGGACACAUUGGGACUGAGAUACGGCCCAAACUCCUACGGGAGGCAGCAGCUAAGAAUCUUCCGCAAUGGACGAAAGUCUGACGGAGCGACGCCGUGUGAAUGAAGAAGGCCGAAAGGUUGUAAAAUUCUUUUGCAGAUGAAGAAUAAACAUAGGAGGGAAUGCCUGUGAGAUGACGGUAAUCAUGCGAAUAAGCCCCGGCUAAUUACGUGC